This 467-nucleotide ribosomal RNA is filed under the name uncultured bacterium. Its description in RNAcentral is "partial 16S ribosomal RNA". It matches the Rfam family "Bacterial small subunit ribosomal RNA", at positions 28 to 507 of the family's 1533-position model. The record is from RNAcentral.
GACGAACGCUGGCGGCGUGCUUAACACAUGCAAGUCGAACGGAAAGGCCUCUUUCGGGGGGUACUCGAGUGGCGAACGGGUGAGUAACACGUGAGUAACCUGCCCUUGACUUUGGGAUAACUUCAGGAAACUGGGGCUAAUACCGGAUAGGAGCUCCUGCUGCAUGGUGGGGGUUGGAAAGUUUCGGCGGUUGGGGAUGGACUCGCGGCUUAUCAGCUUGUUGGUGGGGUAGUGGCUUACCAAGGCUUUGACGGGUAGCCGGCCUGAGAGGGUGACCGGCCACAUUGGGACUGAGAUACGGCCCAGACUCCUACGGGAGGCAGCAGUGGGGAAUAUUGCACAAUGGGUGGAAGCCUGAUGCAGCAACGCCGUCUGCGGGAUGACGGCCUUCGGGUUGUAAACCGCUUUCGCUCAUGACGAAGCUUUGUGUGACGGUAGUGGGUAAAGAAGCACCGGCUAACUACGUG